AGGGCUUGCCCUGGGGCAGAGCCGCGAACGGGUGAGUAACACGUGGGUUACCUGCCCUGAUGACCGGGACAACCCGUCGAAAGACGGGCUAAUACCGGAUGUGCCCGCAAGGGGAAAGGAGGCGUAAGCUUCCGCAUCGGGAUGGGCCCGCGGAGCAUUAGCUUGUUGGUGAGGUAAAAGCUCACCAAGGCUUCGAUGCUUAGCUGGUCUGAGAGGACGAUCAGCCACACUGGGACUGAGACACGGCCCAGACUCCUACGGGAGGCAGCAGUGGGGAAUCUUGCGCAAUGCACGAAAGUGUGACGCAGCAACGCCGCGUGCGGGAAGACGGCCUUCGGGUUGUAAACCGCUUUCAGUUGGGACGAAGGUUCUGUGGUUAAUACCCGCAUGGAUUGACGGUACCUUCAGAAGAAGCCCCGGCUAACUACGUGCCAGCAGCCGCGGUAAUACGUAGGGGGCAAGCGUUGUCCGGAAUCAUUGGGCGUAAAGCGCGUGUAGGCGGCUGAGCAAGUCUGUUCUGAAAGCCCGAGGCUCAACCUCGGGAGGCGAAUGGAUACUGCUCAGCUCGAGUCCGGAAGAGGAGUGUGGAAUUCCUGGUGU
Molecule: ribosomal RNA, 600 nt
Filed under: uncultured bacterium
Lineage: Bacteria
Description: bacterial SSU rRNA
Rfam family: Bacterial small subunit ribosomal RNA
Source: RNAcentral